Molecule: ribosomal RNA, 510 nt
Filed under: uncultured bacterium
Lineage: Bacteria
Description: partial 16S ribosomal RNA
Rfam family: Bacterial small subunit ribosomal RNA
Source: RNAcentral
GACGAACGCUGGCGGCGUGCUUAACACAUGCAAGUCGAACGAAGAGCGAUGGAAGCUUGCUUCUAUCACUCUUAGUGGCGAACGGGUGAGUAACGCGUAAUCAACCUGCCCUUCAGAGGGGGACAACAGUUGGAAACGACUGCUAAUACCGCAUACGAUCCAAUCUCGGCAUCGGGACUGGAUGAAAGGUGGCCUCUAUUUAUAAGCUAUCACUGAAGGAGGGGAUUGGGUCUGAUUAGCUAGUUGGAGGGGUAACGGCCCACCAAGGCGAUGAUCAGUAGACGGUCUGAGAGGAUGAACGGCCACAUUGGGACUGAGACACGGCCCAGACUCCUACGGGAGGCAGCAGUGGGGAAUCUUCCGCAAUGGACGAAAGUCUGACGGAGCAACGCCGCGUGAGUGAUGACGGCCUUCGGGUUGUAAAGCUCUGUUAAUCGGGACGAAUGGUUCUUGUGCGAAUAGUGCGAGGAUUUGACGGUACCGGAAUAGAAAGCCACGGCUAACUACGUG